CUAAGUUCUGAGGUCUGAACAAUCAGAGCCUGCGCAGAGCAUGCGUAGAGUCAGCUGAACUUGAGGGCUCGCGUCUUUCUAUGGUUAUUCUCUAGAGCCUGAGUUGCCCUCACCUGGGCCAUGUUUCUCAGCCCGCUAGUGGCCUCUGCUGGCCACACGUAACGUUGCAGUCUCUGUGUUAGGGUGGCUAAUAUUUUAGCUUGUAGACAGGCUCCAUGUGUGAUGUAAGUCAGGGAAGCAACCACAAUGCUGGGAGGUGGAGGUCUUUGUGCUUUCAGGACCCUCUCACCAAGCAGUGUCGAUCACCGUGUUGGAGGGAGGCGACUGCGGCGGUUUUUCUGUGCAUCCCAGACUGGACUCAAACCCACGGCAACCUUCCUACUUCAGCUUCCCAAGUUCUGGGGUCCUGAUACUCAGGCCUAAUUCCCUAAUUGGUUCUUCAUUUGUCAAUAAAGAAGGCGGGGAGCCAGUUGCUGCGGGGGACCGCACAGUUCACACUUCCCAGGAGGAAAAGGCAGACACAAAGAAGGAGAGGGGAUUUUUCUGCCAUGCUUUGGAGGAAAGAACAGACACUACGAUCAUGUAAGGCCUUGGGACAGCUAGGGCCUCUGGCCUCCACUACCGGUGGAUGGCCAACGAUGUUGGCAGGGCUAGCUGAUAGAGGCCACUAAGUUUAGGGUGGAGGGAAGGACCAAUGAGGGCACGUGUUUCCAGAUAGGAGGUAUUUGCACACAGCAAUCACGCUAGUAGACAAGUCCUAAAGUAAUAAAGCUGUUUGAGUGUCUUUUAGCCGAGGAUUCAAGGGUCUCGGGAUCGGGCUGGUAAUGCGGCCCCUCCUGGAGCGAAGGCCGGUAGAGAGAGGCUGGGUGGGAACUGAAGUGACAGAUCCAGAAGCUAAGUGGGAUAGGACAAAAGGGAGACAGGAGGGGCCAGAGUUGGGCAGCUCCCAGGGAAAGGCGGUAGCAUACAUUAAUAACUACACCAAACACUAGGGUUGUAUAAGCGAGCCAUCGCACAGUCAUAAAUGUAGCCGACUCUCAGUGGGGAGGAUGGAAAUGUACCGGAAACACCGGUGUACUUUGCCAACGAGAUUCAUAAAAGACCGUUAAGAUCUAAGACACUUAACUUGUUUAGGGUCCAGGGUUUGAUCCCCACCAAGAAAACAAAAGAUAGAUAAGAUCUUAUAAACUUCCCAGGCUGGCCCGGAACUUAUGAUCCACCUGCCUCUGCUUCCCAAGUAACUGUGGUUGCAGGGCUUGUGUGGCUGUGCCGCACGUGGCUUUAAUUUCUCCUGAAGGGUGUGCGAUGGUAGAUCAGGAAGUUAGUAAUGGAAUGAUUUUUGUUCUUGAACGUCAAUGUUUGUAUGUUUAACACAAGGAAAGUCAGAAUGUAUUCAUUUAAAUUUUAGUUUUAUUUUAUGUGUAUGGGUGGUACCCCACGGAGGCCAGAAGAGGAGGACAUCAGAUCCCUUGGAACUGUAAUUACAGAUGGUUAUGAGCCACCAUGCGGGUGCCGGGAACCAAACUCUGGUCCUUCUAAGAGCAGCCAGUGCUCUUAACUGCUGAGCCAUCUCUCCAGCCCCUCCGAGUGUGGUUCUAUCUAAAUAAUGCAUAAUAGGUCUUAACAGGGCAAGUGUAGGACAUGUUUACCUAAUCCAAUUUCAAGGAAACUCAGUUACUACAAAGGGAAGAGUAGGUUAAACCAAAGCUGCCCUGGAUCUCACUGUCUCACAUGUGCUUGGCUUGCAGCAGGGGAGGGGUUUGACUCCCACUGUAAUGCUGACUCGUGCACCAUUGCCAUAGCCCCUCCAGUACAGAGAAUCAGUAAGUCAUUCGUGUUCCUGGAUGGGGCUGGGGAGAUCGCUCAGUGGUUGAGGUCACACAUGAUUCUUCCAGAGGACUUGUGUUUGAUUCCCAACACUCAAAUCAAGUGGUUCACAGUCACGUGUAAGUCUAGCUCUGGGAAGGGGAUCUGACUCCUCUGGGGUCCACAGGUCCCCAAGCAUACGCGAUGUAUGCUCCCACAUAACACCUAAAAGGAAAAGAGCGUUUGUCUGUUCUCUGGUGGUCUAGACGGAGCUUCUGUUAUGACUGGUUGGGACUUAGGUAGUGUCCCUGUGGGUUGGAGUGAUCUGUGGGGGGGUUUAGAGGACUUUAGUUCCAUUCAGCGUGUCCUAAUUGUCCUACGUUUCAUCCCUGGUAACCCAUCCCUCCUGUCUGUGCUGUAUAGGGAAACAUCCUUCCAGUGACGUGUUUCAACACACAGGUUUCAACCAGUUUACAGGAUGUAGGAAGCAUUUCUCUGGAACUUGGGGGGGGGGGCUUUCUCCCCAGAUCACUGAAAAGAAUAACCUCGGGUUGAUUAUGCAAGUAAGGACAGUGGACAUUCUUGUAUCUGUCACAGGAGGUGAGGCUCAAAUGUGGAGAAAGAGGCCUUUUUAAGCCUCACCCCACAGGGCCAGGCUUGGCAAGCUCCAUCCGAGCCCGACGUGUCGGUUUGGGCUGAAGGAUGAGUUAAACUGCCUGGAAAUCAAAGACUUAGCUACUGUGCCCACCGCCCUGAUCUUCUAGCCCCAUUCUGCCCACAGAGAGUAGCAAGUUUAAGGGAAGCCUUGGCAGAAGUAUUCACGCGUGCGAAUUAGUCAGAUUUAACGCAUACGGUAUGACUUUGCUGCUUUAGUUCUACCGACAUAAAGAACAUUUUGAUAAAGCUUCAGAUAUUGAGGGUGACUGCCAUAGUCUUUGUGUUCUCAUGAAUUCUCUCAAUGCUUGUAACGGUAUUGCUAUAGGAAAAAAAUAAAAUAAAAUCAGCCUUCUUUUCUGCAGGGCUCUGGAUCCCUAAGCGGGGGAAACUGACGCAGACAACCCAUUUAGGAUGGAGAAUUCUAAGUUCUCUCACUUCUCACUCUCUGCACAUUGUCUAGUUGUGGGUCUCUGCCUCUAUUCUGAUACACUGCAGGAGGAAGUUUCUCUAGUGAUGGCUGAGCAGAGUACUGAUGGGAGAUUAGAGCAGAAUGUCCUUAGAAGUAAUCUUGUUGCUAUGUUUCUGUAGCAGAACAAUAGUAUUUGGGGUUUCCUCCUGGUACCUGGCCUAUUUAGUCUCGGGCUCUUGGCCACCCAAGCUGUGCUGGAGACAGGCCCCUUCUCACGGAGUGGGCCUUACAGCCAAUCAGGUAUGUGUUGGUUACUCCCGGCUGGUCACACCAGCACACCUUGUUGCAUGCAGGUCGUCAUUGAAAAUCACAGGGUUUGCAGGUGGCUUGGUGUUCACCCUUUUCCUUUAUAGAGCGCAGAGCACUGCGCAGCAUCCUGAAUGCUGGUCAGUAGGGUGAAGGCUCCAGGCAGGUACCAGCUCUCCACGUUCAAUGAGAGGAGGCAGAAAGACCGGAAGAGCCAAAGGGUCUGGAGAGGCUCAAGGACACAUGGCCUCGUAAACCUUGCAGGACUGAAGCACACAAGAACUCACAGAGCCUGUGGCAGCACGCACAGAGCCUGCACAGGUCUGGGCCUGAUGGAGUCCCAGUGUCGAGAGUCCAAGUGGACACAGGCCUCCAUUGUAACCCAGAAGCUCUCUCCCAUAGAUAACCGCUUGCAAAGGAAGCAUUCGUUUUCAUCAAUGGAGUCUUACUGGGUAUGCAAACCACUCUUAAGACCAGGCCGAAAUCCCGGCAUUGGACAGACAACACAAGACAAACUCAGUAAUAUUUUUGGAGUUUUUGUUUUUGUUGUCUUGUUUUUGUCUCAUAAUGCUUUGUCUGGGGAUUCUUUUUUUCUUACCCUACAGGUCCUUUGUUUAGAUGUUACGGUUUCCAACUUUUUUUUUUUAAAUGGGAUGUGUGGGAUGAUGUCAUUACGCAGGUGAAAGCAGGUACAAGAUAGAACGAGGCCUGUCAUUGGACGAGAAGGAAGGAUGGGCGGGGGAAAAGUUUCAGGGAAGAGGAGAAGACGGGAAUGGGAAGGUAGAGGAAACCGCUGAGAGAACAUGGAGGCAGAUGUUAAGAUUCGUCUCUGCACAUUUAAAGGUUGUUAUGAAUGUUCUUGAGGGAUGGAUGUGUGCAGGGCUUUGUAUGUUUAGGUGGGCAAUUAUAUCUUAUCAAUUGGAUCGGAGGUUAUUGUGCUGUGUGUUCUUUCUUGUGGUGAAUUAAACUUAAGAAAGUGUGUGGCAGCUGGCACACUAAGCUACCACAGAAUUGGGAUGUAUAUUUCUGGCAUGGUGGCAGCCUGCCUUGGGAACUGGAUGGGUAGAGAGAUUGUUGCCAGGCUCAGAGAGAGGCCAUCAGCAGUGUGAUAUCAACAGGGAUGUCUGUGUGGCCAGUAUGUAUGUCUCUGCUUCUGUAUAUGUUUCUUGUGUUUUUUCCCUUUGUCUCUUUGUUUUUCCUGUUCGUUUUAAUUUUAUUUUAUUAUUUUUUCUUCUUUAGAUGCCUGUUGGUUUUCUUUUCUUUUUUUUUUAAAAAGGAUUUAUUUAUUUA
Rattus norvegicus (Norway rat) is the source of this 4468-nucleotide non-coding RNA. NCBI's taxonomy places the organism in Eukaryota, Metazoa, Chordata, Mammalia, Rodentia, Muridae. The record is from RefSeq and is a predicted model, not a curated record.